RNAcentral lists this long non-coding RNA (1051 nucleotides) under Heterocephalus glaber (naked mole-rat). RNAcentral's name for it is "lncRNA (ENSHGLG00100045043.1)". Lineage: Eukaryota; Metazoa; Chordata; Mammalia; Rodentia; Bathyergidae. The record is from RNAcentral.
GUAACCACAAAGAAUGAGGUGAUCCUAGCCGGAGCCCCUUCCUAGUUGGCACAGCAUGCUGAGCUCUGGGCACUCAUACAGGCACUCCGAUGGGCAAAGGGUAAAAAGAGGCUGGUGAGUCAACACACGACUGAAGAACGGAAGCACCAACAAGGAUGAUAUGGAUUAUUGUAUUGUGCCAGAUCACCACUGCUUUAAGUUUCUUUGUUUUCAAACUGCAGGUGUUUAGGCCUAGUGAUGAAGUUUGAUGAACAAUAUGUGACUUGUAAAAUGGGAACCAGAAGGCUAUCCAUUUACAAUAUUUGAUGCCUACCCCCAAAAAACAUUAUGGGGGACCUGGGGUAGCUUCUGACUUUGGGGGUAUUCUAAUGAGAAAUUAUAUUGCAAAGAGAAAACACAAGUUUGGAUCAAUGGCUCCCUUGUUGGAUGAGCCACUGGUAAUUGUGUAAACAAGGUCAAUGUAAUCCUAUAUCUAUGUAUAUGCCAGCCCCAUGGGAUCCUAUUUGGCUAAAAGGAGAAAUAUAUUUCAUUAGGACAAGAAAUUAGAAAAGAUCUUGAGGAAAUUCAAGAUGCACUUCAGGCUUUAGAAACCCAACUAGAUUCACUGGCCAAUGUCAUAUUACAGAAUAGGCAUGCUCUCAAUUUGCUAACAGCCCAGAAAGGAAGGACUUGCUUAUUUCUUGGUGAAGAGUGUUAUUAUUACACUAAUAAAUCUGGUAUAGUGUAGUACAAGAAUCACUAGACAAACUGAAAGAUCAGAUCAAGGCUCUUGAUAAGGAAUUUGGUAUAGGAGAGCUAUCCUAUGGGAUUAAUUUUACUUGGGCAGGAUGGAAAACUUGGACAGGACCUCUUCUGAGUCCCCUUCUUGUUAUAAUAUUAAUAUUAAUGUUUGGUCCUUGUGUCAUCCAAUGGAUUUCAAAAUUUAUACAGCAGCUCAUUGAUGCAGCUCAACACUACCAAAUGCUAGUGUUAAGAAAUGUAGAUAAACUGGAUAGAACUUAUAAUGGAUAGAAGAACUAUCCCAAAGUAAACACAGGGACGAAUGAUAGGG